AUACGGAGGGUGCGAGCGUUAUCCGGAUUUAUUAGGUUUAAAGGGUGUGUAGGCGGGAGCCUAAGUCAGUGGUGAAAUCUCACAGCUUAACUGUGAAACUGCCAUUGAAACUGGGUUUCUUGAGUAUAGUUGAGGUAGGCGGAAUGUGUAAUGUAGCGGUGAAAUGCAUAAAUAUUACACAGAACACCGAUUGCGAAGGCAGCUUACUAAGCUAUUACUGACGCUGAUGCACGAAAGCGUGGGUAGCGAACAGGAUUAGAAACCCCAGUAGUCC
This 274-nucleotide ribosomal RNA is filed under the name uncultured bacterium. Its description in RNAcentral is "partial 16S ribosomal RNA". It matches the Rfam family "Bacterial small subunit ribosomal RNA", at positions 523 to 796 of the family's 1533-position model. The record is from RNAcentral.